RNAcentral lists this long non-coding RNA (2415 nucleotides) under Homo sapiens (human). Its description in RNAcentral is "non-protein coding lnc-MC5R-6:1". Lineage: Eukaryota; Metazoa; Chordata; Mammalia; Primates; Hominidae. The record is from RNAcentral.
AAAUAAUUGGUGAUCCACAAAAAGAAAAUAAAGUGAGAGACAAAUUCCUGACUCUUUUAAUGUCAUACUGGUUAAAUAUUCGGGGGGAAAAUUUUUAUUAAAAAUAUGUGUACAAAAUACUUUCUAAAACAGGCAUAAUUCAUCACAAUUAAUUACAGAGGGUUGUUCAAACAAAUGGAUCUACUUCUAUAGAUAUACAUGCAUAUACAGACAUAGAUAUAGAUAAAUAUCAACUUUCCUUUUAGCAUGAAAAGACAAGAAAUUUAAACAAUAGUGAACUAAUAAAAAUAUACCUCCGUUAAACUGCUCAGACUCAAGAAAAUUAGGGUGAAUAAUCAUACAUCACAGAUGAUGAAAGAAGUACUGUGUUCUCAUACCUUGCAUAUUACGAUUAUAAAGUGUUCCACAUUUAGGGGUUGGCAACCAAACAAUAUCUAUUAACAACUAAAAUAUAGAAAAGCAAAAUGCAGCAAUGCUGGUCCUGAGAAUCUCCCCAGAGUAAUAAACGCAGGUAUAAUUACAAGAGCAAAAUGCAGGACACCAAUACUUCUAUGAUAUGACCUGUAUUUGGUGUUGGGCUUUACAGGAGCUCUUUCUCAGACACAUAUGCAUUAUCUGUAUCUUUUCUGAGAUUCUACUAACUUUAUGGUGAAAUCAACAAUAAAAGGUUUUCAUUUUGAUAAAUUGGUUUUCAAAAGAGAAAGAUGUUACAAGACCCUUUCAACUUGUCUUGCAAGUGAAGGCUAUAUCUGAGGCUGCCAAGAAAAGUUAUUGACAAAGGCAUGGCAAAAUGUUAAUGUGGUUUUGUUGACCACUGUGUUUGCAGCACAGUGGAGAAACAGCGUGGUUUUCUGUCCUUGCUGAGUUUUAUGCAUUUUAAGGAAUCAUAUUUGUUCAUUCCACAUUGCAGAAUGUUUCUUGCAUUUUCAUUUCCUAAUGCAGACUAAAUAUCUUAUGUGGUUUGCAAUAAUUCUCUCCUUUUAAAGGUAUUUCUGGAGUAACUGCCUGGUCUGUAACAUGUUUGAUGGAUACCUAACCCUUAAAUAUUACAAAAUUUUAUGCACAAUCACUACUUGAUUUUGAUGGACAUAAAAACACGUUUUUAAGUUACAGUAGCAAGAUAUUAUCGUUGCCUGUGUUAACUCAUUACUGAUACUCGGUUUAUAAUCAUAGCCACCCUUUGUGAAAAGGUUAGCUUGUUACAUUAUGGUUAUGCUGAGGGAAGAACAGGCUAUCCUGGAUGCUUGAGGGCCUCUCGUGGUGACUGAGUGUUGGCACUAGUGUCAGUUCAUAUCUAAAUAUUCCUACAUAUGUAAUGUACUUUCAUAUUUUUUUUGACAACACUUGUCUAGGGAAUAUUUCAACUCUACUCUGUGCUUUUGGGAUUCAAUGGGAAUCCCCUUUCAGAUGGUCAACAGUGUGAGCCUUAUUGAUUGACCUUUUUGCCCUCUUCCCUGAAAUAUAUUCUCUAGGUUUAAUCUGUGGAAUUAGAUUUUAAGUCACAUUUUCUUGCGUAAAUGUAUGAAAGCAGGAAAACCGGCUGUUGCUCAUAUUAACAGCAUUUUUUUCACAUAGUGUAAGAAAAACAGUGGUCUUAUUCACCAGACCAAUCUUGUAUUCCCGCUGGUCUCACAGUUCAAGACUCCCUUCCCCAGGCUUUUUGUUCUGAGGUCUGGCCAUACAAGCAUCCUAGCUGAGUGGGUGGAAACGACAUUUACCUGGUACAGGCCUGACCUGUGAAAACACCCUCUGUGAAGCCCCAAAUAUUUUUUGCCAUACAACUGCAUGAAAUUUUCCCAAGCACCAUAGCCAGAUUUGAAGACACAGGUUAGCAAUGAGAAAUACACCAAUAGAAGGUAUGGGGGUCCCUAAAUCCAUAUUUGGAGGAAAAUCCACAAGCAGAGUCACAUGACAUUUGAAAGCCUGUGUUGAGGUGGUAUAUGCCAGCAAUGAUAAAUAUUACAUGAUGAUCAAACUGCUGAUAAAUUCAGGUUUGUCUAUUACAACAGCUAAUUUUACGUUAACUGUAACAAAAAUAUAUUGAAGAAAAGUUUGCAUGGAAAUUUUUAUUUUUAUAUUUAUUUAUUUCUCCUAUCUCAGCCUCUCAAGUAGCUGGGACUACAGGCACUUGCCAUCACGCCCAGCUAAUGUUUGCAUUUUUAGUAGAGGCAAGGUUUCACCAUAUUGGUCAGGCUGGUCUUGAACUUCUGACCUCAGGUGAUCUGCCUGCCUUGGCCUCCCAAAGUGCUGGGAUUAUAGGUGUGAGCCACUGCACCUGGCCUGGACAAUUUUUAUUCAAAUUCUGUGUACAACAAACAUUUCCUGAGUAUUUCAAAAGGCGAAGGAAAAUAUAAACCAUACAGUUAUUCAUAUAAGAAACCUGUAUCAUGAUCUUCACUCUGUUUUUGAAAUUCA